CACCACCGCCUCCGCCCUUGCGCAUGCGCAGGGCCCGCACUGCCGGCUCGCCCUAGUCUUUUGCUUUCUUUUUCUGCCCUCGGCUUCGCUCUUGCGCACGGGACCACAAUGCUCCGCGCCGCUUGUCAUUGGGAGGCGCCGAAGAUCACUCACUCUUGGGGGCAUCCAGCAGCCAUGUUGUGAGGACAGUCAAGCUGCUGUGAAGAGGCGCACCUGGAGAGGAACUGAGGCCUUCCACCAAAACCAAGCACUGACAUGCCACUCAUGGCUUGAGGGACAGAGGAUCAUGAACCAAAGCAUCUGUGUAAAAGGAACCAAGCAAUGACAGGAAUAUAUAAAACAUCGGCAGAAAGAGGCCUUUGGAGGAAUCCGGGCCAGCAUUCUCAUCUGGAUGAGGGACUGCGGCCCAUGGAGGGUUCUCAUUUGUAUGAGCUGAUGCUAUUAUCAUCAUCCAAAAAAUUUACUAGACAGGUUUCCACAGAUGAUUGGAAAAACCCAAGAGUUGGUCCUCUGUUCCAGACCCCACACAGACACAAACCUACGAGCCAAGGGAGCCAGUAUUUGGCCAUUCGUCCAUCCAUCUGCAUGUCCCAGGGAUGCACGAACAGGGAACACUUCAGCCUUUCAGCUGCCUUCAAAGAAGCAAUGAGAGAGAGAGAGAGAGAGAGAGGGUUACUUUGAUGAGUGAGCAAAUACCAGGUACUGUUUUGGGGAAAUUGCUUUUCUUUGGGUCUAUAUUGGUCUGCAUAAAUAAACUAAAAUGCUUUUGAAGUUGUUUUAUGAUCUAUAUAGAAGAGAGAUUGACAAACUUCUCCUGCUUGGAAAAUAAAAGGGACACUUAGAAUUAACAAAGGGGGUUGGUAGAUUUACCAUUGAGGUUGAUGAACUUAGUAUAUCGUCUGGUAAAACAAGCAUCAGGAAAUAUCCAUCAUUCAAAUGUUUUGGCUGACAGCAAAAUGCUCAAGGACAAAUCCCACACCUGAAAUGUAGGGGAAAAUUUCCCCUGCAUUUGGCUGCUUCUGGCUCCUACUUGGUCUACUCUUUUGGAAGGACUGCUGAGAUUGUAUCCUUGGAGUCAGGGCGAGAGUGCCCCCUCCUUUUCCCCACUUGGAAACAAGAGUUUGUGGAAAGUGAGGAAGUGAUGUGCUGGAGCGAGAGGCUCAGUGCUGGGCUGGGGCUGGCUGGCCUGACCCAAGCCACCUGGCUACUCAGAGCCCAGCACUGGGCGGAAUCCCUGGGGUCUACAGGCAUUCACCCAGCCCCAGAAGCCCAGAUGAGUCUCUGAACAGUCGGCUGUGAGUGAGAUGACCUCAGAAAUGGAAGAGGUCAAUGCCUUAGCCAGACAGGCACUGAUAUGAAUGUCAUGGGCAUGCUCCAGGGCCUUCUGAGAAAUGGAAAUACCAUCUGGUUGGAAUGACCUUUAUUCAACAAAAAGUUUAAUCAAAAGAAGUCUCCUCAACAGGCAUUGAAUAUUAGUGCUCAUCAAGAUUCAAAAGAGAUUUCCCUUAGAAUAAUUCCUCACCACAUAUAUUGAGGUUCUGGAGUGAUUCAUCCUACCCUCAUACAUAAAUGUUUGUGCUAACCAG
Molecule: long non-coding RNA, 1586 nt
Organism: Symphalangus syndactylus (siamang)
Lineage: Eukaryota; Metazoa; Chordata; Mammalia; Primates; Hylobatidae
Source: RefSeq, a predicted model, not a curated record